AACAUUUGAAACCAUGCGGCCACCUCCUCCUUCUCCUCGGAAACACAAACACAAGAAACUAUCAGUGACCGAGUUGCCGAGUGAAAGAUAAUUGACUCUGGAGAGCCGCAGACUGAUUGCCGCUGCACACACUCUGAAUCCCA
Molecule: non-coding RNA, 143 nt
Organism: Caenorhabditis elegans
Lineage: Eukaryota; Metazoa; Nematoda; Chromadorea; Rhabditida; Rhabditidae
Source: Ensembl